AUUCAGGACACACUACCCGCAAAAUAUGGCACCUUGACAUCUUGAAUAUUUUCAGAUAAAGGAACUCAAGAAAACUGCACAAGUAGGAAGGUCACUGUGACCCUCACGCAGCCUUUCUCCCCUGAAGUAGGUCAUAAAACCUCCAAAGGAUUUUCUGACUCUCCCCAGAAGCAGGUCACAAGACCCUCAUGUGAGAGGUGCCCUCCCUAUACCUGGAGGACAGGAGCGUCCUUCUCUCUGAAGACACGAAAACAGAGAGAAUCUGCACAAGCAGGUCUUGGUAAGUUCCUGCCUGUUUAUUACACUUAGCUCACUCCCCUUUGUCCACAACUUUCCACUCUUCAUCAAACCCACUAUAAAAAAAUGCUCAGGUUCAACUGUUUCUUUGAGUUUUCAAUUACUUUUGAAGGCACCUGAGUGAUAUAAAAUUUAUAUUAAAUAAUGUGUAUGCUUUUCUCUUAGCAAACUGUCUUUUAUUAUAGGGGCCUGAGCUAAUGACCUUAGCAUGGUAGAAAGAAAAUUACUUUCCUCCCCUACACUAUAUAAUUUAAACAAAGUAUUUUUGUCAGAUCUUUUUCUUCACUAAGUGUCUAACUUCUUCCCAUUUCUGGAACUGCUCUGAAACUCUCCCAUUCACAAUCAUGUGGCUGAGAAGAACCAAGAGACAGAAAGGCAUGAUAGAAACAAAACACCUAGUGUGGCCGGGUGUGGUGGCUCAUGCCUAUAAUCCCAGCAUUUUGGGAAGCCAAGGUGGGCCAAUCGCUUGAGUUCAGGAGUUCAAGACCAGCCUGGGAAACAUGGCAAAACUCUGUCUCUAUCAAAAAUACAAAAAAAUUAGCCAGGUGUGGUGGCACGAGCCUGUAGUCCCAGUUACUUUGGAGGCUGAGGUGAGAGGAUCACUUGAGCCUGGGAAGCAGAGGUGGCAGUAAGCCGAGAUUGUGCCACAGCACUCCAGCCUGGGUGACAGAGUAAGACCCUAUCUCCAAACAAAUAAACCAAAAAAACAACCACUUAGUGUUUAUUAACAUAUAGUUCCAUGCAGCUAUAUGCUGCACUCUACUUUUCCUUUGCUUCCUCUCCUCCUGGGUUUGAGGCAGAAGGCAAGCUGGGGAAGAAGGCAGAAGAAAGGAAAUAUAGAGGAGACAAAUACACCUAGAGUGGGCUCACAAGGCGGUAAUCUAUACACCUAGAGUGGGCUUGUAAGGCUGUAAUCUAUACACCUAGAGUGGGCUCCCAAGGCUGUAAUCUAUACACCUAGAGUGGGCUUAUAAGGCUCUAAUCUCUCUCUGUCAUUUCCUUGCUGACGCUGAACUGUGUGUUUCAUGUGACUAGAGAUGAAACAGGAAAGGGAAUGCGUUGGAGCCAUUUUUUAAAACUACAAACUGUUUCUCACUACCCUCUGGGUAAGUAGAAUGUUCUUAAUUCCACUCAUGUUACCUACAAUGGCCGUUCUCUUACAGACAUCAUGUUUUUAGCACGUUAUUCCUAGCAAAAUCCCCAAGGAGUGUAAUAGUAGGUUGCCUAAUUCAUUCUGUUUGAGCAUUAUGAACUCAGAAUCAAUAUUUGAAUUUUUAGAGCUUCCUGUUUUCAGAGUCCUGUGUUCCAGGCAUCUGAUAAGAAUGACUGCAUAAUUGUCCUAACUUCUGUAAUACUUUUGCUCGAGUAUGAUCUCGGUAUACAGACUUAAUGCUUAUGACAGGUCCACAUUAUUUGAGUAAACCGAUUGAAAACCAAGAGCUGAUUGAGAACGUCCCUUAAUCUAGCGGCUGCAUUAUCAAUUUGUGAGCAUGUCCACAUUCUGGUCUUUGAGGGAGAAAAUACAGUAAAAAAAAAAAAAAAAAAAAAUGAGGUCAAGCUGGGAUUUUCUAGCUCAGUGAUUGGCUCUAAAUGAAGGCAUAUGAAUCUUUGCCUUUCGGUUGUGUGGAAAAUCUGCCAGGGGCUAAACUUUGUUGUUAGAUUGGCCUAAGCAAGCAAGACAAGCUAGCUGGGAUGGGAAGGAGAGGGAAGGAAGAAAGAGAAGAAAAACGUGGCUUCCUGUGGUUUUACAAGGGUCACAUCAGCCUCAGGAAGUAGGGACAUUGCGAGCAACUAAACAUAUGCAAAUGAAAUGCAACUUUUCAGAGGGAAUUUGUUAAGUUACUUCAUUAGCACUGAGGCCAAGGGCAGUCCAGAGCUAAUGCAAAGUAGAUCUGACGGUUUCCCUUUGUUUGCGUCGAGGUCUUCAGGGCAGUGGGAGUAAAGGGGUGAAAAGGCGGACAGCCAUGUCCUUGAAAGGGAGCAGAACCUGUAAGGUCUCCCAAGCCCUUUUGGCUUGAAUGCUGGCUUUUGUCUCCCGAGGGCCAUUGCUCUGCUCCCCGAGAGUCCAAGUAAUGAAGCACUUGAUUAAGACCUCAUUAAAAGUUCAUUGACAUUCAUGACUGGAGCCAUCACUGCAGCCCAGAGAGAUGGAGGGAGGAUGGGGCCAGCCUAGAAGCAUAAAACCUGGGUUUAAAUACUCUUUCUGCCACUUCACAGCUUGGUUUUCUUCCUGGUACAUUUUUAAUCUCUCGGUAAUGCCACUUUUCUCAUCUCUAAAUAACUCCAGUUCUGUGCCACUGUGAGAACGCGCUUUGAAAGCCUUAGUAUUUUGUGUGUCCUUAUUCUUUUUUUUUUUUUUUUUUUUUUUUUUUGAGACAGAGUCUCGCUCUGUCACCCAGGCUGCAGUGCAGUGGCGCAAUCUCGGCUCACGGCAAGCUCCACCUACCGGGUUCAUGCCAUUUCCUGCCUCAGCCUCCGAAGUAGCUGGGACUACAGGCGCCCGCCACCACGCCCGGCUAAUUUUUUUUCUAUUUUUUUUUUUUUUUUAGUAGAGACGGGGUUUCACCGUUAGCCAGGAUGGUCUCAAUCUCCUGACCUCGUGAUCCGCCCACCUCGGCCUCCCAAAGUGCUGGGAUUACAGGCGUGAGCCACCACGUCCGGCCUGUGUGUCCUUAUUCUUGUUUUCCACCCCUUUGCUGUCUUCAUCUGGUUGUUUCAGGCUCUUUAGGACCUGCUGAGGACAUGUAUUUCUUGCAUCACAGCGCUGUGAAGCACCCUGAGACUGCACAGGCCUCUGAGAAAUACAGACAGGUUAUAGGGAAAAACAAGAAGCUCUAGCCUCUGGCAGAUGUCCAUGCAACCCACCCAAGCCCCACAAAGGAAACAGUGCAAGCAGCUGAGAAUAUCUCUAGACUGUUGAUCAGACCUUGCCCAACCGACAUUCACAGGCAUACAGAUAGCCAGGUGUGCCCCUUUGCACAAAUUCGAGUCCUUCCAUGAGAUCCAGGAACCAAGCACAGCAGCAAAUCCUAAAGUGUUCCACAAAACACUCAUUCUUCCAGACUGUUGGCGUUCUACCAUUGACGGAGGGUGGAGCUGAAAAUUCUGGGCAGCUUUCCUCCAACGAGCCCAAGAAUCUGAAAGGCCACCCUGACACCCACGUACUACUCACCAGACACAGCCAGCGUCACUGGACAGCCACAAGUUUUGUUUUUGUUUGGUUUUUGAAUUCAGAGCUUCUGUUUGAGGCUUAGAGUUUCCAAGAUGGAGCAGGGACCCCUCUUAGGGGCCUACGGGGCCCCCUAAGCAUAAAGGAAAAUCUUGAGUUCCUUCCAAAGAAAUUCCAGGUACCUAACUAGCCCUAAGAAGUAAAUGAACAACUUGAUAAGCAAGAAAGUAACAGUGGUCUACAACAAUAGCCAAAAGCCCUGACCCCGACCAAAGGUUCCCCUGGCACAUCCACCUGAGAUAAAGAGCUGAGGACUGAAUUCUGAUGACCAUUCUUUGUUCUAAAUUCCUUCCUCAGAGGCCUGGAGCAAGUCACAUCCCCAGGCCAGACCUUAACAUUCCUUCCUGCUAACCCCAAGUUUUUAGACAAAGCUUCACUUCCUUAACCAGUCAGGAAUCAGAGUCUUCCUCCCGCUGCAGAGAACCUUGGUGUGAAAGUUCUGCUUUAUUGUGCCGGGUGAGCGGACCCCAGGUUAGUUCGGUGACAGAACUGAACAUCCACAAGUUUUGUUUUGGUUUGGUUUGGUUUGGGGGCUUUCACCUUCUCUUUGAGGCUUGUACUUUCCAAGGCCAUACCCUAGGAAGCCAGAAAAUGACUCCAUCCACUCCAGACCCUCCUUCAGGUUCUCUGAAGAUUCUAUAAGAAUUUCCAUUCUCCUAACAUCACCUCCAACCUCAAGUAACCUCUCAUUCUUCCUUUUUUGCCUAGAGUUGGUAUCUUCCCUUGUUCUGGGCAAGGGAAAGAAUCUUUUCCUCCCAAUAUUAUUGAGGUAUAAUUGACAAAUAGAAAUUGUAUAUAUUUAUGGUGUGGCACGUGAUGAAAUACGUAUACAUUGUAAAAUGGCUACCACAAUCAAGGUAAUUUACACAUCCAUAGCCUUACAUAGUUACUGUGUGUGUAUGUGUGUGUCUGUGUGUGUGUGUGUCUCUGUGUGUGUGUGUUAAAAACACUUAAGAUAACUCUGUAAAUUUGAAGUCUGUAAUACUUGAAAUUCUGGGCUAUUGUUGUCAUGCUGUUAGUUAGAGUUCCAGAAGUUAUUUAUCUUAUACCAGAAAGUUUAUAUCCUUCUUACUUUAUCAAAGAUUCUUAUUUCAUCCCAAAUUCUUCCUAUGCUCUGGUAGAUGGUAUAAACUUCAUAUCUGAUUCCUCCACUUAAAGCCAAGUUUCUGAAAUAGUGAAGCUUUUUUAUCUCUUGCAGAAUAGCCAUACCUUUUUAAAUUUUGGUUAUAGAUUUAUAAAGCUCUGCUUCAGAGCUCAAAAAUCAUUGGAGCAAGUUUUUGUUCUCGCUGAUUUUUCCCUAGCCAGAGGCAAUAUUUAUAGAGCCUCCCAAUGGCUACGUGGCUGUUUAGGGGUGACGAUAGUGGCAGUAGCUGGUGACAAAGAUUUUUGGCUUGGCCAAACUUUAGUCAGGCUCCUGAACCUUCUUCGAGGGCCAUCUGUGUACUUCCAUGUAAGAUUCAGUCAUGGCAAAGAACUCUGCUAAGUCAGUUUAACAAGAAGCCCUCAUCCUCAAUAUCUGAUCACCCUCAAUAUCUGAUCAGAUUCCUCAUCCUCCACUAACACCUAGGUGAUAUCAGGUCACCUUGGUCUGUGUUGAGCAAAAAUGCUCUUAGUUUAGUUUGUCCAGAAUCCCCCUUCCCCCUGAUGUUCCUAUUAGUAACUUUCUUUCUUUUUUUUUUUUCUGAGACGGAGUCUUGCUCUGGAGUGCAGUGGCCCGAUCUCAGCUCACUGCAAGCUCCACCUCCCAGGUCCACGCCAUUCUCCUGCCUCAGCCUCCUGAGUAGCUGGGACCACAGGCGCCUGCCACCACGCCCGGCCAAUUUUUUUGUAUUUUUAGUAGAGACGGGGUUUCACCGUGUUAGCCAGGAUGGUCUCGAUCUCCUGACCUCAUGAUCCGCCCACCUCGGCCUCCCAAAGUGCUGGAAUUACAGGCGUGAGCCACCGCGCCCGACCUCCUCUUAGUAACUUUCUACCCACUGACUCUACUCCUUGGCUGUAAAUCCCACUUGCCCAUGCUGUAUUUGGAGUUGAGCCCACUUUCUCUCCACCACUGCAAAAUUCCACUGUUGUGGUCCCUAUUUCUAUUGCAAUGUUCCUGAAUAAAGCCUUCCUUGCUGUGCUUUUACAGUAUUAUUGAGUAAUCUGGUUUUCUUUUAUACUGGAGAAAGAGGGAUUAGAGGUAAGUGGAAUUGGUAUCUAUUGGUUAAAGCCAAGAAAUUAACACUGUUCAUUCUUCUCCUCCCAAAUUCAAAAUGAAAAGAAAAAAAAGACAUAAGUGUCAAAUGGAGAUAAAUAUUAGCUUGAUUAUUGAUAAAAGUGGGAUUGAAUGACAGAGCCUAGAGGUACAACCACAUGGACUUGCUAAUUCUUUGCCCUGGGGAUCAAGCAUUUUCUCCUCUGGUCACCGGUCCAGCCUGAAGCCUAUGGGCCUUCCCAGGUGCAAUGCUCCAUGGAGAAGCAAAGGAAACUUACACCCUGAGGAGAGGCCAGUUCCAAAAGAGAUCCAGCAGGCCUGGCAUCCACUUUGACACUUACCAGUUAAGCAUGUCAUCAGGGAGAGAAGGUAAAAUAAGGGUCUAAGGAAAACCAAACAGAGAUUGUUAGCAGAGGUUGGGAAGGGUAGCAGGGAGCAGGAGAUAAAGUCAGGAUGGUUAAUGGGUACAAAAACACAGACACAAUGAAUAAAAUCUAGAAUUUGGUAGCACAAUAGGAUUACUGUAGUUAUCGAUAAUUUAUCCUAUAUUUUCAAAUACCUUAAAGAGUGGAAUUGGAAUGAUCCUAACCCAAGAUAAAGGUUUGAGGUGAUGGAUACCCCAAUUUCCUUGAUGUGAUGAUUACUUAUUGCAUGCCUGUAUCAAAACAUCUUAUGUACCCCGUAAAUAUAUAUAACUAUUAUGUA
Molecule: long non-coding RNA, 6425 nt
Filed under: Homo sapiens (human)
Lineage: Eukaryota; Metazoa; Chordata; Mammalia; Primates; Hominidae
Description: HSALNT0237594
Source: RNAcentral